AUUGAACGCUGGCGGCAUGCCUUACACAUGCAAGUCGAACGGUAACGGGUCCUUCGGGAUGCCGACGAGUGGCGAACGGGUGAGUAAUAUAUCGGAACGUGCCCAGUAGUGGGGGAUAACUGCUCGAAAGAGCAGCUAAUACCGCAUACGACCUGAGGGUGAAAGGGGGGGAUCGCAAGACCUCUCGCUAUUGGAGCGGCCGAUAUCAGAUUAGCUAGUUGGUGGGGUAAAGGCCUACCAAGGCAACGAUCUGUAGUUGGUCUGAGAGGACGACCAGCCACACUGGGACUGAGACACGGCCCAGACUCCUACGGGAGGCAGCAGUGGGGAAUUUUGGACAAUGGGCGCAAGCCUGAUCCAGCAAUGCCGCGUGCAGGAAGAAGGCCUUCGGGUUGUAAACUGCUUUUGUCAGGGAAGAAAUCUUCUGGGCUAAUACCCCGGGAGGAUGACGGUACCUGAAGAAUAAGCACCGGCUAACUACGUGCCAGCAGCCGCGGUAAUACGUAGGGUGCGAGCGUUAAUCGGAAUUACUGGGCGUAAAGCGUGCGCAGGCGGCUUUGCAAGACAGAUGUGAAAUCCCCGGGCUCAACCUGGGAACUGCAUUUGUGACUGCAAGGCUAGAGUACGGCAGAGGGGGAUGGAAUUCCGCGUGUAGCAGUGAAAUGCGUAGAUAUGCGGAGGAACACCAAUGGCGAAGGCAAUCCCCUGGGCCUGUACUGACGCUCAUGCACGAAAGCGUGGGGAGCAAACAGGAUUAGAUACCCUGGCAGUCCACGCCCUAAACGAUGUCAACUGGUUGUUGGACGGCUUGCUGUUCAGUAACGAAGCUAACGCGUGAAGUUGACCGCCUGGGGAGUACGGCCGCAAGGUUGAAACUCAAAGGGAUUGACGGGGACCCGCACAAGCGGUGGAUGAUGUGGUCUAAUUCGAUGCAACGCGAAAAACCUUACCUACCCUUGACAUGUCAAGAAUUCUGCAGAGAUGUGGAAGUGCUCGAAAGAGAACUUGAACACAGGUGCUGCAUGGCCGUCGUCAGCUCGUGUCGUGAGAUGUUGGGUUAAGUCCCGCAACGAGCGCAACCCUUGUCAUUAGUUGCUACGCAAGAGCACUCUAAUGAGACUGCCGGUGACAAACCGGAGGAAGGUGGGGAUGACGUCAGGUCCUCAUGGCCCUUAUGGGUAGGGCUACACACGUCAUACAAUGGCCGGUACAGAGGGCUGCCAACCCGCGAGGGGGAGCCAAUCCCAGAAAACCGGUCGUAGUCCGGAUCGUUGUCUGCAACUCGACUGCGUGAAGUCGGAAUCGCUAGUAAUCGCGGAUCAGCUUGCCGCGGUGAAUACGUUCCCGGGUCU
Molecule: ribosomal RNA, 1352 nt
Filed under: uncultured bacterium
Lineage: Bacteria
Description: bacterial SSU rRNA
Rfam family: Bacterial small subunit ribosomal RNA
Source: RNAcentral